UUAAUACGAUAAUCCGCGUAAAAUCUUACCAUGGCUUGAAUAUAACUUUUCUAAGAAUAUUUCACGUAAAAAUAUUCAUUUGUUAAAAAUAAUUAACGGAGAAAAGGAAUAAUUGCUAUUAUUCAUUUACAGGUGUUGCAUGGCUGUCGUCGGUUCGUAUCGUGAGAUGUUUGGUUAAUUCCGCUAACGAACGCAAUCCCUAUUGUUAAUUUAUACUUAACACUGGCUUACCCUAAAAAAGGGAAGUUGUUUGGGGCUAUGACAAGCCGUUAUGACCCUUAUGCCGUGGGCU
This 292-nucleotide non-coding RNA is filed under the name Rhizoctonia solani AG-1 IA. RNAcentral's name for it is "Bacterial small subunit ribosomal RNA". It matches the Rfam family "Bacterial small subunit ribosomal RNA", at positions 946 to 1215 of the family's 1533-position model. Lineage: Eukaryota; Fungi; Basidiomycota; Agaricomycetes; Cantharellales; Ceratobasidiaceae. The record is from Rfam by way of RNAcentral.